RNAcentral lists this long non-coding RNA (289 nucleotides) under Salvator merianae (Argentine black and white tegu). Its description in RNAcentral is "lncRNA (ENSSMRG00000005387.1)". The record is from RNAcentral. Lineage: Eukaryota; Metazoa; Chordata; Lepidosauria; Squamata; Teiidae.
CUGUGAUGCUGCUGGCUCUGGUCAUCUACACCAUCAUGNUCCUGAUGAACGCGGCAGCUGGUUCGGGAGCAGUCAAAGGUCUAUUUCGUACAACCGUUGGAAACAUCUCACGCCACCAUGACUCUGACCUCACGCCAGCAACCUGGACCUUCAUCAUCUGGAGCAUCAUCUAUUUGUGGCAGUAUAGCUGGCUGGGUUAUGCACUGUCAGGAAUCUGCAGGAGGAAUGAACAAGGCUGGGUAUACACACAACCAGAUUUGCUACCAGUGUCAUUUUACUUGAUAUGGAU